ACGUUUGUUGUUUCUCGGAAGUGACGAAACCAAAGUACUGAUGGCGGCUCACAGUUUGCUCCCCGAUAUGUACUGAAACGAAUUUGAUGGCUUCGUAUUGGACUUUUGGCGUACUUUGCCAUUUGUCAGAGGUCUCGAGAUUAAUAUUGAACCUGUCGAGCACAAGAGUCGUCAAUCCGAGGAGGGAUCAUUUGUUGUAGAGCUGGUUAGAUCCAGAGCUAGCUGCCCUGCCAAUGAAAUCCAAGUCCAGUUAGCCCUUGAUCGCAGAGGUUGGUUUGAGUGCGUGGCUACACGCUUUGAGACGUUUGACAUUUUAGCAGUUUUCUGACACUGGCUGGUUCAAGUGCAGCAGAGUCUCCGGAUUCUGUAGUUUGGCUAGCCUCGCUCGCGUUACUUUAAAAGCAAAGAAGUGGCGGGAAGUGGUUAGCCGAAGUAAUUAGCUGCAGCCGUACUCCCAGCUUCUCUGAAAUCAUUGGUCUCUAGGGGAGAGUGUGAAUCUCUUCUAUGUUUCACCUCUGUGCCGUUCAUCGACUGUCAGCAUGUUGAAAACUCGUCAGUGUUUACUCGGGAUUCGCACCUUCCUCGGAGUGACGUCUAGAAUAUGGGGUUUCAUUUUAUACAUCCUCAGGAAGCAUCUACGAACGAUAAUCCAGUACCAAACAGUGCGUUAUGACACAUUACCUCUCUCCCCUAUUUCCAGAAACAGACUCAAUGCGGUGAAGAGGAAGAUAUUGGUGUUGGAUCUGGAUGAGACUUUGAUUCACUCUCACCAUGAUGGCGUUCUUAGACCUACAGUGAGGCCUGGUACACCGCCAGACUUUAUCCUCAAGGUGGUAAUAGACAAACACCCAGUCAGGUUUUUUGUCCAUAAAAGGCCACACGUUGACUUCUUUUUAGAAGUGGUCAGUCAGUGGUAUGAGCUGGUAGUAUUUACAGCUAGUAUGGAAAUAUAUGGAUCGGCCGUAGCAGAUAAGCUGGAUAACAACCGGGAUAUUCUCAAAAGAAGAUACUACAGACAGCACUGUACUUUGGACUUAGGGAGCUACAUAAAAGAUCUAUCUGUAGUACACCGCGAUCUCUCCAGUAUAGUCAUUCUGGACAACUCGCCCGGAGCUUAUCGAAGUCACCCAGACAAUGCAAUACCUAUAAAGUCGUGGUUUAGUGACCCAAGCGACACAGCACUUCUUAACCUGCUCCCAAUGUUGGAUGCAUUGAGUCAGCGCAGCCCCAGUUGUUGACAGCACGCCUCACCAAACCACACUUACCAAGAAGCACGUUUUUGCAUUCAAAUGCAGGUUUACCUCAGAUGUUCGCUCCGUCCUCAGUCGAAAUCUCCACCAGCAUCGGCUUUGGUGAUCAUAUCUUUCAGGGCCAGUCUCUCUUCUGGUCACCGUCUGGUUUUUACAUGGCUCUGCCCGUAAGUGUUAGCCUCUCCUGUGCUGGAACUGUCCGCCUCUCGUUAUUGUGAGCUCCCAUUAGUCAUAUGGACUCCUCUGAGGAAAUGCUAUGAGGAGACAUGGGAGGAGAGAAAGGGAGAGAACCAUGAUGAAGAAGCUAUUGCAAAUAAACUCAAGACAAAUGGAGAGGCCAGCAUUUUCUUCUUGUAUUUUUUUUCCUUAAAAAUGGAAAUUCUGCCUUCUGUUGGAUUCAACAUGUGCAUGAUAGUGUUUCUGAGUGAAUGGGGAAGAAAGCUGAUUCCAAUUUUACCUUUUUUAUUUUUUUUGGUGCCAAACUGGUUGUAACUACCAGUAACUUCAUAAUCACUUAUUCCCACUUCCUCAAUGACUGUCUUUGUCUUUUUUAGUUUCGUAUGACCUUAGCACAAACGGUCACAUGGUCAUUCUCUAGCUAAGAUUCUAUCUUUCCUCUCUCCUUUUUUUCUGUCUGCCAUCUCAGGUAUCUCAGCCUCUUCUCUACGUUAAGAGCUGAGAGCCGUUAAUACCGUUGUACUAAUAGUAUACUGUGGUAGAGAUAACUAUGAUCAGCAGGAGAGACUACAGUCCAUUAUUACAGCUUAUGGAAUCAUUUUUCUGUAUUUUUUAAAUGGCUCAUAUGAAACCUCUGGUUAAAUCAGAGAGGUUUUCGAAGACACGUUUUUAGAUGCGCUUCGAUAGGAAUACAUCAGCCACUGAGAGUGACACUGAACAACAAAGACUCUGCUAUAACAGAAAAAUAAAAUAGAGCCUUUUGUCAACAACUGAAA
Molecule: RNA transcript, 2203 nt
Organism: Carassius carassius (crucian carp)
Lineage: Eukaryota; Metazoa; Chordata; Actinopteri; Cypriniformes; Cyprinidae
Gene name: CTD nuclear envelope phosphatase 1A
Exons: 9
Source: RefSeq, a predicted model, not a curated record